This 541-nucleotide ribosomal RNA is filed under the name uncultured Gallionellaceae bacterium. RNAcentral describes it as "bacterial SSU rRNA". It matches the Rfam family "Bacterial small subunit ribosomal RNA", at positions 135 to 671 of the family's 1533-position model. The record is from RNAcentral. Lineage: Bacteria; Pseudomonadati; Pseudomonadota; Betaproteobacteria; Nitrosomonadales; Gallionellaceae.
AAUGGGGGAUAACGUAGCGAAAGUUACGCUAAUACCGCAUAUGCCCUGAGGGGGAAAGUGGGGGAUCGCAAGACCUCWCGUUUUCGGAGCGGCCGAUAUCAGAUUAGCUAGUUGGUGGGGUAAAGGCCUACCAAGGCGACGAUCUGUAGCUGGUCUGAGAGGACGACCAGCCACACUGGGACUGAGACACGGCCCAGACUCCUACGGGAGGCAGCAGUGGGGAAUUUUGGACAAUGGGGGCAACCCUGAUCCAGCCAUGCCGCGUGAGUGAAGAAGGCCUUCGGGUUGUAAAGCUCUUUCGGACAGAAAGAAAUCGCACAGGAUAAUACCUUGUGUGGAUGACGGUACUGUAAGAAGAAGCACCGGCUAACUACGUGCCAGCAGCCGCGGUAAUACGUAGGGUGCGAGCGUUAAUCGGAAUUACUGGGCGUAAAGCGUGCGCAGGCGGUUUUGUAAGACAGAUGUGAAAUCCCCGGGCUUAACCUGGGAACUGCAUUUGUGACUGCAAGGCUAGAGUGUAGCAGAGGGGGGUAGAAUUCCA